AGGAAGCGACUUUUCCCACUGAUGGGCUUUGUCUCCUAGAGAGAAUGGAAACAAUCUGAGCUUGAAGCCAUCCUCACUAACUCCAUUUAUCUUUG
RNAcentral lists this small RNA (95 nucleotides) under Arabidopsis thaliana (thale cress). RNAcentral's name for it is "ATSL202330". The record is from RNAcentral. Lineage: Eukaryota; Viridiplantae; Streptophyta; Magnoliopsida; Brassicales; Brassicaceae.